This 101-nucleotide non-coding RNA is filed under the name Citrobacter freundii. Lineage: Bacteria; Pseudomonadati; Pseudomonadota; Gammaproteobacteria; Enterobacterales; Enterobacteriaceae. The record is from RNAcentral.
GUAUUUGGUAUCUGCGCUCCACUAAAGCCAGUUACCAGGUUAAGCAGUUCCCCAACUGACUUAACCUUCGAUCAAACCGCCUCCCCAGGCGGUUUUUUCGU